ACGCUCGACACCUACGGAGGCAGCAGUGGGGAAUAUUGGGCAAUGGGCGCAAGCCUGACCCAGCAACGCCGCGUGAAGGAAGAAGGCCCUCGGGUUGUAAACUUCUUUUAUCAGGGACGAAGCAAGUGACGGUACCUGAUGAAUAAGCCACGGCUAACUACGUGCCCGCAGCCGCGGUAAUCUGAGCGGGCUGGCAAGGC
This 200-nucleotide ribosomal RNA is filed under the name uncultured bacterium. RNAcentral's name for it is "partial 16S ribosomal RNA". It matches the Rfam family "Bacterial small subunit ribosomal RNA", at positions 328 to 539 of the family's 1533-position model. The record is from RNAcentral.